GUGGGGAAUAUUGGACAAUGGGCGCAAGCCUGAUCCAGCAAUGCCGCGUGUGUGAAGAAGGCCCUCGGGUUGUAAAGCACUUUUAUCAGGAGCGAAAUCUGCAAGGUUAAUACCUUUGCAGUCUGACGGUACCUGAGGAAUAAGCACCGGCUAACUCCGUGCCAGCAGCCGCGGUAAUACGGAGGGUGCAAGCGUUAAUCGGAAUUACUGGGCGUAAAGCGUGCGUAGGCGGUUCGUUAAGUCUGUUGUGAAAGCCCCGGGCUCAACCUGGGAAUGGCAAUGGAUACUGGCGAGCUAGAGUGUGUCAGAGGAUGGUGGAAUUCCCGGUGUAGCGGUGAAAUGCGUAGAGAUCGGGAGGAACAUCAGUGGCGAAGGCGGCCAUCUGGGACAACACUGACGCUGAGGCACGAAAGCGUGGGGAGCAAACAGGAUUAGAAACCCCUGUAGUCC
RNAcentral lists this ribosomal RNA (450 nucleotides) under uncultured bacterium. RNAcentral describes it as "bacterial SSU rRNA". It matches the Rfam family "Bacterial small subunit ribosomal RNA", at positions 354 to 796 of the family's 1533-position model. The record is from RNAcentral.